AAAAAAUCACGAAAUAUCUACAUAUAAACUUCUUAAGAAUUCACUCAAAAACUUUCCUAAUUAUUUCUAGCCUCGUUUAAAAAAGAGACUCAGAUAUGCGAAUGAAAAUUUUCGCUUUCGAAGUCACAAAAAUUCAGGGCAAACAAUGUUUAAGUGGAAGUUGGUUUACCAACGAACCCCUAUAGUGCUUUAUCCUCAAUACAAUGCCCUCGCAAACGGUUUUUCGGCGAGUUAUAUUUACGAUUACCACUGAGUUUGUUUGGGGUAAUAGACGCUUAAUCGCACUGCGCGUGAUAUUAACACGGACGUCUCAGCGGGCACCCUGUGGUGUUCAGCUGUUCGCCACUGAUCAUCCGGGAAACGCGCUGUUUUCGCGCGGUUAGGAGGGGGUGUUUUCCCAGAGCUUAUAUCAACAAAUUCCAACCAACUGCGAAAAGACAGGCUUUGAUAUAAAAUUACUAACAUAUUUUCCUGUUGUGGGAAGAUAUUUUAAGAUUUGUUGUUAAGCCAACAGUACCUAAUCUUUCCUUUUCCGUGAAUUAGUCAAUUUGGGUGUAAAAAAAAGCGGUUACCGGGCGAUUACUAAAAGCAAGACCGGAUACGGUGAAGUCUCAGGUGACCGCGCGUUUUGACACCGAACCACUUGAAACAACAAGAAAUCAAAUAAAUGUAAACUCCAUUGGUGUCCCUGAGUAAGCAGUCCCCUGGGAAAAUCACAUAGCUUGUAUUUCAUUAGAAAAGUCCCCAAAUAAUCAAGCACUAACUUCAUAAAUAGAUGCUCCGAUGCUUUUUUAAGACUGCGGACGAUUACUCGUUCGUUAAAAAUCACAAUCCGAAGUACAAGCCAUGGCAGAAACGAAUUAAAAGAUUUUCACUUUCUAAAGGAAAUCCCAGACUGCUACCCUGUCGUUAUUUGCUGUUGCACAGACAUCCACAGGACUCCUGAAGCAAAACCGCACCCUGACCGUCAUGCACCGUGCGCUUCUUCAACUUCCCAAAAUGCAUCGCGCGGCGUUUUGGGUACGAGACUUGAGUAAUCCUACUAUUUAAACGUCGGAUUUUAAGAAAAUAUAAAUGAUAAAAAACAUAAGCA
Molecule: long non-coding RNA, 1093 nt
Organism: Nematostella vectensis (starlet sea anemone)
Lineage: Eukaryota; Metazoa; Cnidaria; Anthozoa; Actiniaria; Edwardsiidae
Exons: 2
Source: RefSeq, a predicted model, not a curated record